Molecule: small nuclear RNA, 116 nt
Organism: Eremothecium sinecaudum
Lineage: Eukaryota; Fungi; Ascomycota; Saccharomycetes; Saccharomycetales; Saccharomycetaceae
Source: RefSeq, a predicted model, not a curated record
GAAUUGCCGGUACUAUUUCUCUGCUGGGCUCCAAUUUAAUAGCAAACAAGAUAAAAUAUGUCUAUUACUCAUCAAGAUAUCCCAUAAUAUUGGAUAUAUUGAUCCAUUUCACAGAC